RNAcentral lists this ribosomal RNA (442 nucleotides) under uncultured bacterium. Its description in RNAcentral is "SSU rRNA". It matches the Rfam family "Bacterial small subunit ribosomal RNA", at positions 26 to 518 of the family's 1533-position model. The record is from RNAcentral.
AGAGCGAACGCUGGCGGCAGGCCUAACACAUGCAAGUCGAGCGCCCCGCAAGGGGAGCGGCAGACGGGAGAGUAACACGUGGGAACGUACCCUUCAGUUCGGAACAACCCAGGGAAACUUGGGCUAAUACCGGAUACGCCCUUACGGGGAAAGAUUUAUUGCCGAAGGAACGGCCCGCGUCCGAUUAGCUAGUUGGUGAGGUAACGGCUCACCAAGGCGACGAUCGAUAGCUGUUCUGAGAGGAAGAUCAGCCACACUGGGACUGAGACACGGCCCAGACUCCUACGGGAGGCAGCAGUUGGGAAUCUUGGACAAUGGGGGAAACCCUGAUCCAGCCAUGCCGCGUGAGUGAUGAAGGCCUUCGGGUUGUAAGCUCUUUUACCCGGGAAGAUAAUGACUGUACCGGAGAAUAAGCUCCGGCUAACUUCGUGCCAGCAGCCGC